RNAcentral lists this ribosomal RNA (427 nucleotides) under uncultured bacterium. RNAcentral's name for it is "partial 16S ribosomal RNA". It matches the Rfam family "Bacterial small subunit ribosomal RNA", at positions 355 to 774 of the family's 1533-position model. The record is from RNAcentral.
UGGGGAAUAUUGGACAAUGGGCGAAAGCCUGAUCCAGCCAUGCCGCGUGUGUGAAGAAGGUCUUCGGAUUGUAAAGCACUUUAAGUUGGGAGGAAGGGCAUUAACCUAAUACGUUAGUGUUUUGACGUUACCGACAGAAUAAGCACCGGCUAACUCUGUGCCAGCAGCCGCGGUAAUACAGAGGGUGCAAGCGUUAAUCGGAAUUACUGGGCGUAAAGCGCGCGUAGGUGGUUUGUUAAGUUGGAUGUGAAAUCCCCGGGCUCAACCUGGGAACUGCAUUCAAAACUGACUGACUAGAGUAUGGUAGAGGGUGGUGGAAUUUCCUGUGUAGCGGUGAAAUGCGUAGAUAUAGGAAGGAACACCAGUGGCGAAGGCGACCACCUGGACUAAUACUGACACUGAGGUGCGAAGGCGUGGGGAGCAAACA